Small nucleolar RNA from Acanthochromis polyacanthus (spiny chromis), 136 nucleotides. NCBI's taxonomy places the organism in Eukaryota, Metazoa, Chordata, Actinopteri, Pomacentridae. The record is from Ensembl.
UGCAGCUUUGUCAAAUUCGGUGCUUCUUCUUUAGUAGGCUGCACUGGCCAAAACAGCUGCAACAGAGACUUAGUAGUUCAUGGGCCCCACUUUCUUUAUCAUGGAUCCUGGGGAUAAAUAUGUACUGCAGACAAAA